RNAcentral lists this ribosomal RNA (399 nucleotides) under uncultured bacterium. RNAcentral's name for it is "bacterial SSU rRNA". It matches the Rfam family "Bacterial small subunit ribosomal RNA", at positions 358 to 774 of the family's 1533-position model. The record is from RNAcentral.
AGAAUCUUCCGCAAUGGGCGCAAGCCUGACGGAGCGAUGCCGCGUGAGGGACGGAGGCCUCCGGGUCGUGAACCUCUGUCGCCCGGGACGAUAGUGACGGUACCGGGAAAGGAAGCCACGGCUAACCACGUGCCAGCAGCCGCGGUAACACGUGGGUGGCGAGCGUUAUUCGGAUUCACUGGGCGUAAAGGGUCCGCAGGGGGCCCGGCGCGCCCGCCAUGAAACGCCAAGGCCCAACCUUGGCCCUGCGGCGGGUACGGCCGGGCUUGAGCGCGCGAUGGGCAGACGGAACUCCGGGUGUAGCGGUGGAAUGCGUGGAUAUCCGGAAGAACACCGACGGCGAAGGCGGUCUGCUGGCGCGCGACUGACCCUCAGGGACGAGAGCGUGGGUAGCGAACA